GGGCUGAGAGAAGAGGGCCUGGAACCAGUCUGUUGAGUGUAACGAGGGACAAUGCUAAGUGUGUUAUGAUCUCAUUAAAAGUACAUAGAAACUUGAGAUAUGCAGUAAUUCACUAACAAACCGAGUGUUACAAGACAUGCUAAGACCUUGUGUCAUAAAUACUUGUGCAUUUACUUGAUCUCCCCGCUUUAGGGCCAGGACUGAGUUUUGUACUCGUUGUAUCAGGGCAUCUUGCCCCAGACCUGUCACCCACUAGAAUUUGUUGUUAAACAAAUGAGGCUUCCUUCCUUAUGUGGCCCCCCACCCCUCUUCUAAAGAGGACAAUUAAAGUACGAGAGAACGGAUGAGAUUAGAACGCUGGUGGGACUGAGAUGGGAAAGGACCUUAAAGGUUAUUCGUCCAAAGAAGAAAACCAGCCUUUUCCCGGCAGACGGAAACUGACGCGCUCCCCCUGGAGGCAGCGCAGGAUGCUCCCGGGAGUCCAGGCGUCCCAGCUUGGGGUCCCCAUCCUCGUGUGCAGUCAGGGCACUGGUGGGAACCCUGGGCUCCAGGCGGCCCUCGCGCUUGGCGCUGGUACAAGUCGGGGUAACCUUACGGCUUGUGCAUCCAGAGAAGCGAGGUCCCUGGUGGAGACUAGCUUGGGAUAGGUUGGGGAGACGCCCUCCGUUCUUCUAGAUGGCUGGGGUCUCAACAGCAAGCAGUGGGGAAUAAGACUUACUGAACAAACCCUGAGACUGUUAAAGGAGUGCAUACUAUCAAAGGGACAGGCAUCCCCUGUGAACCUACUGAUGAAUUUUUCCUAAUGCUUAAUUUAGCUUGUGGACAGAAAUGCUGGGGCGAGACACGGCCAAGUCCGUCCUGUUCCUCCAGGGAAAUCCCCUCUCCGCCCUCCCUCUCCAUCUCCAUCUCCUCUUGCCCACCUCCUCCUCCUCCCCUUCUCCCCCAUCCCACCGCGCCCACCCCGCGUCAUCGCCCCCUUUCCCCUCCCACCUCCCGGCCGUGGUGCGGCGCUGCUCUCUCCUCCUCCGCAGUCUCGGCGGGAGCUCCGGGUGCUGUGGCCCGGCCUUGGCUGGGCGGCCUUCGGCUCAGGCUGGCUGAGAGGCUCCCAGCUGCAGCGUCCCCGCCCGCCUCCUCGGGAGCUCUGAUCUCAGCUGACAGUGCCCUCGGGGACCAAACAAGCCUCGCAGCCAUUUCUCUCUGCAGUUAUUCAGAAUCAUCUGGCCAGGCCCCAGUGUCUCCCUGUUGUGUGUCAAUCCUGAGUAGGUGGAGGAUGAAAGUAGAGAAGAUGAGAGCAUGUCCUCGAAUUUAGGUAUGCGUGUAAACACAGCCAGUGGUGCUGGGAAGGACAGGUGUUGGGAUUGCAGAUGGCUAAAUAGAGGACAGCCAAGUUUUAAAAGGUGGUCAUGCAAUCAUUGGUGUGUCCUAACAUACACACUAAGGUAGAGGGUGGUGUUGGCCCUACAGGGUCAUUGAUAUGACUGAGUAGUUCCUGACCCACAGCAGCCUCCCAGGAACUGUUUGACAGAUCAAUGCAAAGUCGUGUCGCAUGGCAACAUACUAUAUACAUAAAUAUGGACAAGUUCCUCACUAGACAUUACAAGGAACCAGGUGAAAAGAAAGGCAUGAGUAAUUGCGAAUCUGUCACCUGGAAAGGGAAAGCAAUUCAGUGCAGGUCCUUCAGUGUUAAGUCAGCAUCUUUGCUUUCUCAUAGACAGGAAAAAUAACUGAUUUGAAAUAUUAAUACAGUGGGCAGCCUUCUAAUCUUUCAUUAGUUUGCCUGCUCUAUCUAAGCUAGAAUAUAAACUUCUAGGGUAAAAAACAAAACACAAAAGAGAAACUGAGCCUUAAGGUAUAAUGUCAUUUCAUCAUAGGAUUCUAUAUACUCUAGAUAGACUCACUCAAAAAGUUGAGUUUUUCUUUCAUUGUAGAUCACUCCCUUAGAGUAAUUAUGUUGACAUAGACUCUGUUUCUUUUUAGACUGAGGGUCUGAUGCAGUUCCAAAAUUCCCAGUGAAGAUCCACGCUAUAAAUAAGACACAGAAAAUGCAAUUUAAGUGUUUUGUGGCUGCAGAGUGUUUAAUCACACUUAAGUUUAAUAGCAAUGAAAAAAAUAUAUUACAGAGGCAUGGAUAUUCAUAGAAAUGAGUAAUUAGGAAAGCAUUCAUUUGGGAAGUCUCUAAAGUGAAGCUGUCCUUGAACAAAAAACAAAACAAAACAAAGAAAAAGGGAAUUUUAGAGUGAGUUGGAAACUAUCUAUCUUGAAAUAAAAAUAUUUGACUGUGAAACUGACUUUUUAGAACACUACAAGGUCUCUAAUUUUGGCUUAUAUAACAACCUGUUCUGAAGUGAUACAAAUUCACCAAUUAAGGUAGGAUAAUAAUUAUAAAAUAACAUGUGUUAACUGCUUACUAUCCUCUGGGCUCAAUAGUAAUUCUUUGCAUGUAUCAUCUCAUUUAAUCUCUAUAACAAUGUUAUGAAGUUGAAAUUAUUGUAAUAUUAUCCCCACUUUGCAGAUGAGGAAAGUGAAACUUUGAGAGUUAAUGAAAUGUCCACAUGUACAUGCCUCAUAAGUGGUGAAGAGGGAAUUGAACCCAAGCCUUCCCACUCCUUGGUCUGCACUCAUAACCACUAUGCUGGAACAGAUACAGAAAUAUUCUCAACGCUGAGAGCAGUCACAUUUCUAAGAAACUAUAAACAAAUAACAAAAGGGUAAUAGUAAGUGAUCUCGUAGUUAAGUGUGGUCACGUCUGUUAAUAGAUUGGGUACAAAUGUGUAAUUACAUCUCUUCCAUCAGUAAGAGUUCGUCUACGUACACAGACAUUCUUACUUCCUCCUUAAUUCCCUUCUACUCAAUCUGUCUUCAGGAUCUAACCUAUAAUCAGCUGUGUGUGUGCUGACUCACAGUGGUGGACAGCAAUCACUGCAACUUUGCUUUCAUUCACCAAAAUUGGAAUUUGAAGCCCCAAAUCCAAGCCAUCUGGAAAUGGACAGUGAAGGUCACAAUUAUAUUGCAAGACAGGAAAAAUGAGGGGGAUGGGGAAGACAAGGGACGUUAGACUUUCAACAUUUUAUAGCUGCCCCUUCAAUCGGGACUGUGUCUUUUUAGAUCAACGAGUUAGUCCUUUUUAGACAAUGGACAUAUGUAGAUAUCCACUGAACAAACUGUGGAUUGUUCUAUCAGUAAGAGCUAUCAUUUAUGCCACAUUGACAUUUUACCACAAGACAAACUUAGAUUUUCCAAAAGAAAGUAUCCUUAAACAUUUGCCCAAUUUUAAAUUACAGGCCAAAUUAGGCUAAAUCCGUGUCCUCUUAUUACUGUGAUUCUGAGGUCAUAUUACAAAGCUCUGCCCUUCCCAUGCCCAAGGGUAGACGUGGGCAUGGUUUUUAUUCCUGUGGUGCACUGCAUAGAGCUCCCUCGAAGGGCACCAGGCAGGGCUGGUGAACCAAUGCCAU
This 3452-nucleotide long non-coding RNA is filed under the name Macaca fascicularis (crab-eating macaque). RNAcentral's name for it is "lncRNA (ENSMFAG00000053933.1)". Lineage: Eukaryota; Metazoa; Chordata; Mammalia; Primates; Cercopithecidae. The record is from RNAcentral.